AGCCUCAGUUUCUUCGCUUGUAACUCCAGACAUGCACAUCAUCUUAUCACUGGAGAUGCUGCACUUGUAGGUCCUGUUAUUUGACAGAUUAGACUUCAGCACCAGAUUCUUCUCUGCAUCAAACAGUUUCAGUGAAUCACCAUCCAUGGUUACUGAAAAACCCUUCUCCACCAGCUGACCUAUGCUCAUCAAGUUGCAAUUCAUUUCUGGAACAUACAAGACUUUUUCAAUUAUCACCCUCUUCCCAUCAUUCCC
Molecule: long non-coding RNA, 255 nt
Filed under: Glycine max (soybean)
Lineage: Eukaryota; Viridiplantae; Streptophyta; Magnoliopsida; Fabales; Fabaceae
Description: long non-coding RNA (GMAX_LNC000987)
Source: RNAcentral